GCACUGUCCUGGUGCACAGAGAAGUUCAUAUGCUGCAGCCCUAACCCCUGAUGGUGUUGGGAGCUGGAGCCUCUGAGCCCUAGCUAGGGUGGGGUGAAGUCGGAAAGAUCUGGGACGUUAGAAGAGACUUCUGAGUGACCAUGAAGAUCUCCUCAGCUUGACUGAUCCCGAAGUCACUGUUUGAGAUCUCCUCCCAGGCAGUUAUGAUAAUGCUAUUCUCUUCACUGAGUUCAAAAUCUCCCGUGGAAAUUUCCCACUGUCUGUAGGGAAGCUGGAGACUGUUGUUAGUCCUAGACUGUGUAUGAUCAAGAACAUCUACAGACUUUCAUCAUUCUUCUGUUUUCAUUUGUUUUCUCUCCAUUUCAAUUGCCUGAAUUUUACUGUCUGUGGUAAGAUCUCUGGGAUAAUGUCAUGUACCUCUGGUAAUCCCUCCAGUGAUUGUAGGCUGUGCACUUCCAGUGAUGAGUGGAAAAGGAGGAGGGCAGGAUUUUCUGGGCUCAGCCAGAACUUCACAGAGAUAGCUACUCUCUGUAAACUUCCCAGGGGCUGGCUUGAUUUCACAAUUUCACAUCCACUUCAUUUACCAUGCUGGCUUUCUCCAAAAAGUCUCUGCCUGGUAUAUUUUAAUGUUCUAUGUGGUCAAUUGUAAAGUAAGAUUUAAAACUAUGAAGCUAAAAUAUACAGUUUUCUUUUUCAUUUUAUAGGACUUUAAUGGUUAAUUUUACCUUUAAUUGUAAAAGAAUGAAAUAAACAAAAGGUGGUAGACUUAUGAAAAAAAUUAAAUUAUUUUAUAUGCAUUAAAGUGCUCUACAAUGAAAAUAUAUUUACUAGAAACAGAUUUUAAAGCAUCUCAUGAGGUGUGAUAGGAAUCGUUGAGCAUUGUGACCUUGAAUCUUUAAGCCAUCACUUCUACAAUGAAGUUAGCACUGACUUAGAAAUUCUUGACUACUUUGAAGUUCUAUUACUCUGUGAAAAAUCCUCACUCAUCACCAUUAGAAGUGGACUUAAAAAUGAAUUGAAA
Octodon degus (degu) is the source of this 1021-nucleotide long non-coding RNA. RefSeq lists it as uncharacterized. The transcript is spliced from 3 exons. NCBI's taxonomy places the organism in Eukaryota, Metazoa, Chordata, Mammalia, Rodentia, Octodontidae. The record is from RefSeq and is a predicted model, not a curated record.